Myotis myotis is the source of this 2638-nucleotide long non-coding RNA. RefSeq lists it as uncharacterized. Lineage: Eukaryota; Metazoa; Chordata; Mammalia; Chiroptera; Vespertilionidae. The transcript is spliced from 2 exons. The record is from RefSeq and is a predicted model, not a curated record.
CUCUACAGGUUGUCGGGAGAAGAGCAGCAACAAUUAACUUUCCUCCCUUCACUGAGCCGGUCCCUGUACGCCCUCUUCCCACUGCAGACAGCCAGUCGGCAGCAGCGGCACGUGACCAACUCACUCCUCCCCGCUGACCUGCAAGCACCACACCUGCCAGGUCCAUCUUGGCCCACAGGCUUGGCCCACCACGCUCUGGACUCUGAUGACAUGCGGGUGAGGAGGCUGACUCAAGUAGAAACAGCGCAACACUGAAACCCAUUUGGCAUUGGACCCCCCACUUCCAGACCCUUCCACCAAGCUCCCACUGCUUCCUGAUGAAGUCUAACCCUGCACACUGUAUUCAAGAGCAUCCCUGAGUGGGGCCCAGCCAGCUGGCCUGCCUGCUGCUGCAGCCUCACCACCCAUGCACCUGGCCCCCAGCAUGCAUCGGGGCACACACCCAGUCAUUUGCUGCUCAGAGAGAGUGCCAGGCUGUUUUGUGCCUCGUGCUGACACCAGCUCUGUCUGGCUUCCCUUCUUUCCCACUCAACAGUCACUCACUCCUCCCCGAUGCCAAGGUGCACACAUCACUCCUGAACUCUUUCUUGCAGGAGCUGACCCACUCAUGCCUCCUUUGACUUCCACCAUAAUUCACAUCUAACCUGCCACAGUCCUGACCACACCACCGCAGUCACCUGGCACGUUUGCCUUAUCUGCUAAACCAGGAGCUCUGAGGGGCAAUGAGCUACUGUGGUCAUUUCUGAACGCCCCAAAAAGGUGUGCAAGAGAGGUCAACUGAAUGAUGGCUCCAUUCCCAUUUCCCUCUGGCUGACAGCUUUGUACCAGGAAAAUGAACAGAGUUCCUUAAUGUCUGGAGACAAUUCUUUACCUUGACUGACUUUGCUCAAAUAAAUCUGACCCACACCUGCCCAUUCCUGAAGUGGCAUGGCUGACAGAAACACCGGUUGAAACUCUACCGACUCAAAACCAUAGGUGGGGGCAAGAAGGCAGGUGUCUGUGCAGUGGGCUAGGCCAGUGGUCGGGAAACGGCGGCUCACGAGCCACAUGCGGCUCUUUGGCCCCUUGAGUGUGGCCACGAAGUUUCAAUUGCACUGUACAUGCGCGCCCGCACAUGGUAUUUUGUGGAAGAGCCACACUCAAGGGGCCGCAGUUUGCCGACCACUGGGCUAGGCAAUGGUACAGGAUACUGCACCCUGGGCAGGAAGAAGGGGAUGUCAACACAUGGGACAGGGACAGCUUGGGGUACGGGAGCCCGUGGGGUGAGGAUGGCACCACAGAGGGCAGUGGAGGCAACGGCGCAGUGGAGGCAGUAGAGCGCAGGUCCCUUGCAGGGCAGUACCUGGCACAGAGGUAGGCAGAGACAGGAAGGGUGAUGGGGUGUCUUGCCAGCACCUGUUCUCAAAUGGUUCAAGAAAAAAAGUUCUUCGUACUGUUUUUUGGGUUUUUUUGCAACUUCUCUGGAAGGUGAGUUGUUCCAAAGCAAACUUUCUGAAAAGCUUUACCUUCCUCGUCGCCGCGCCACUCUUUCUCAGCAUCCUCAUCGGCUUUGCGCUUGUCUGCGCCUCUGGCUGCUUUCUUUUUCAGCGCUUUCUUCUCAGCCCGGGCCCGCUUCCGGUGCUCAGCCUUCUCCUCUUCCUGCUGGGCGAGGGUGGCUUCCUUCUCCGCAGCCUGGAAAAGGGGCAGAUGACGCAUCACUGGACGGAGCAGUGACAUACACUCCACCGCCUUGUAAUGAGAAUGGACGAAAGGGGCCAGGGAGUGGGAUUCAUACCCAGUGACAGGACGAGAUCAUGGAAAAUGUGCUCACAACCUUCCCUGCCAGGGCUUUUCCGGCCUCUCAGGAUUCCUCUCAAAUCCACAGUAUUUCUCACAACAGCCCCAGUAAUUAUUCACCAAGAGAAAGAAAAGAAUCUAAGAAACUGGGGCCCUAAUUGACUUGGGGGUGUUCAUAUUCCAACCACUAGGCUAAGAGGCUCUUCCUGUUUUUUCCUCUAUUCUAGUAAAUUUUAGGGCCAAAAUUCCCCUACUACAUAAAAUAGUAUUUACUGCUGGGGCUAAAGUUUAAAGCUGUUCUAAAAAAUAACAAAAGACUGGUUUAAAUAUUGAUUCAACUAUGUCAUAAUAAAUACUUUCUAAGCAAAAGACACGUUUUAGAAAGACCUCAAAGGUUUGACAAAAAAUAUCGCAAACACGGUCAAAACAGCGAUCAGAGGAUCCCAAGACUUCAUAUAGACAGCAUCAUUACCUUAAUUCUCUGCUCAUUAACACGGGCUAAUCGAGUUUCCGUUUUCUGGACAGCUAUAUCCCAAUCUUCUAAAGUACCUUGAUAGAAAAAGAAGCAAACUUUCCAUUUUGGGGUUUGGGAAGCUUUUCUUAAUUUCCCCACCCUCAGGAGAGCUCUCCCCUCAGAGAGUCAGCUCCCCAUUUCAAGGUGAUUUCACUGAAAGUUUUCGAAUUCCAAUAGUCCUUCCAAGAUGGGAUUAAAACAUCCCUUCAUUUUCAGGAGAGACUUGAGAACCAGAAUAUGACCUAUUACGGGUGCUCCCUGGCAAAGAUUAUGAAAACAUUCCAAUGUAAAAGGUAUAAGACAUGACAGUUGAGCAUCUCAAAUGAUAAAUGUUGAAAUGUUUUGUCA